This is a long non-coding RNA of Syngnathus typhle (broad-nosed pipefish), 1675 nucleotides long. RefSeq lists it as uncharacterized. The record is from RefSeq and is a predicted model, not a curated record. The transcript is spliced from 2 exons. NCBI's taxonomy places the organism in Eukaryota, Metazoa, Chordata, Actinopteri, Syngnathiformes, Syngnathidae.
CGGAAGGCAAUUUUAAAUUGACGACGCCACGCCUACUUCACAUCUCACCAAUCACAAGGACCCUUCGUCUGCAUCACCGCGCCCCCCUUUCCAACCAAUCGGAUUUCAUUCUCAUUGCCCCGCCCACUUCCUGAGACCUCUUGACAAUGUUUGACAGUCGCCGUGGCGUGAUCAAGUGCGUCGACACGCACACAAAGCAAGCUUAUUAGCAGCAAUAUUUUUGUCAACACAUUUAUCCCUACUAUGCUAGUAUCACGAAUGGGAGUGGAAAUGGAGCAGGGCAACCAAGUGCAGCUUGGACCAGGGUUUAUUGGCGGAACUCAAAAUACAGACUCGGUAACGUCAUUGCAUAGGCCCCCCAUCUGCUACUCCUGGAUGCCAGAGUGCUCGAGAUUCCACGUUCUCAUCCGGCAAGCGUAAAUUCCGUGAACGGCACACUAAACGGGAAGGUCUCCAGAUUGUGAAGUGCUGGUUGUCUUCCAAAUGGAGAAAAAGCAGGAGGGGCACGACAGGUCCAGUUGUUGGAGAGCCUCUUUGUCUGGCAGCAGAUCGGUUUCUGCAGUGCACUUAACCACACGCGGGGAUUUGAUCAAUGCGUGGGAGGCGAGGCAAGUCCGAGGUGAUGGAGGUACCUGCCAGGGCCUCACCAGCGGCAGCUCUCUUACUAAUACACUCCCUCUCCUGAGGACAUGAAUCUCAGUCGCGGCUGGAGCCCGCACAAAAACAGAAUCCAGAGUGGAUAUAGAAGUGCAACUUCAUACUGUAGAGGCUAUGUUUAGCACCUGGAAAAAAAACACCAUUAUUUUGGGGUUGAGAGGCUAAAAAUGAUGGACGUUUUUAAUCAUGAUAUUCUGCUGGUCAUUAUAUGUCGCCAGCAUCGAUAGAUGAACAAAGACACAUUAUUUUUGGUGAAUAAAUCAUUCUCAGAGCAAUUAAAUGAAACUGGAUAAUUUCCCGUGGCACAUCUGAUGAUAAUCUCUCAAUAGGCAUUCACACAAGCCUCAUUCAUCACUAGAUUUGAUCAUUUAGAACAGUGGGCGGGAACCUUUUUGACUAAGACAGCCAUAAAAGCAAAAUAUUUGGAGAUUUGUUUCAGCGAGAACCAUAGAUUGUAAAAAUAAAUUCAACUAAAUGUCAGAAUAAUAAGCCUCUGCAUUUAUUUUUUUAAAUAAUGUUAUAAUACUCCCCAUUAAUGCAACUUCUGCUGCUGCAUGGAUUUGCUGAUGUCAGUGGCUUACAUGGUUAUGUUCAAAAUGUGUGCGCAAUAUUAUAUAGAUUGAAACAUAUUUAAAAUACACACAAUUAAAAUACACAAACACUCACACAAUGCUGAUGUAUAUGCUUUUAUACACACACAAGCUUGACGGACGGGUGGGCAGGCACUCCAAACACAACUAAGAGAACAUGUGUUUCAAAAUUAUAGUUUAUUUCCACAGUGAUAGAACCAAUAGAGUUCGUAUUACCCGUUUACAGUAAGUCCGUGUGAAAGCACUGAAAAGGCAGACACGCAUACGUAUGACCUCUCACAGGAUGCCAAACCUUCUAACUAACAUUUGAAAUAUUGUUAAAGUGCAUUGGGUUAGUCAUUUUUCACAAUAUUGCACGGCCAGCGUCCACAUGCAUGUCAGUAUAUAAUGCUAAAUUAUGGCCUGUGGUUUUGUUUAUUGGUUAAUUA